This 416-nucleotide ribosomal RNA is filed under the name uncultured bacterium. RNAcentral describes it as "bacterial SSU rRNA". It matches the Rfam family "Bacterial small subunit ribosomal RNA", at positions 355 to 787 of the family's 1533-position model. The record is from RNAcentral.
UGGGGAAUAUUGCACAAUGGGGGAAACCCUGAUGCAGCGACGCCGCGUGAGUGAAGAAGUAUUUCGGUAUGUAAAGCUCUAUCAGCAGGGAAGAAGAAAGACGGUACCUGACUAAGAAGCCCCGGCUAACUACGUGCCAGCAGCCGCGGUAAUACGUAGGGGGCAAGCGUUAUCCGGAUUUACUGGGUGUAAAGGGAGCGCAGACGGCAAUGCAAGUCUGAAGUGAAAGCCCGGGGCUCAACCCCGGUACUGCUUUGGAAACUGUAUAGCUAGAGUACUGGAGAGGCAAGUGGAAUUCCUAGUGUAGCGGUGAAAUGCGUAGAUAUUAGGAGGAACACCAGUGGCGAAGGCGGCUUGCUGGACAGUAACUGACGUUGAGGCUCGAAAGCGUGGGGAGCAAACAGGAUUAGAUACCC